GAACGGGUGAGUAACACGUGGGAAACCUACCUCUUAGCAGGGGAUAACAUUUGGAAACAGAUGCUAAUACCGUAUAACAAUGACAACCGCAUGGUUGUUAUUUAAAAGAUGGUUCUGCUAUCACUAAGAGAUGGUCCCGCGGUGCAUUAGCUAGUUGGUAAGGUGAUGGCUUACCAAGGCGAUGAUGCAUAGCCGAGUUGAGAGACUGAUCGGCCACAAUGGGACUGAGACACGGCCCAUACUCCUACGGGAGGCAGCAGUAGGGAAUCUUCCACAAUGGGCGAAAGCCUGAUGGAGCAACGCCGCGUGUGUGAUGAAGGGUUUCGGCUCGUAAAACACUGUUGUAAGAGAAGAAUGACAUUGAGAGUAACUGUUCAAUGUGUGACGGUAUCUUACCAGAAAGGAACGGCUAAAUACGUGCCAGCAGCCGCGGUAAUACGUAUGUUCCAAGCGUUAUCCGGAUUUAUUGGGCGUAAAGCGAGCGCAGACGGUUAUUUAAGUCUGAAGUGAAAGCCCUCAGCUCAACUGAGGAAUUGCUUUGGAAACUGGAUGACUUGAGUGCAGUAGAGGAAAGUGGAACCCCAUGUGUAGCGGUGAAAUGCGUAGAUAUAUGGAAGAACACCAGUGGCGAAAGCGGCUUUCUGGACUGUAACUGACGUUGAGGCUCGAAAGUGUGGGUAGCAAACAGGAUUAGAUACCCUGGUAGUCCACACCGUAAACGAUGAGUGCUAGUGUUUGAGGGUUUCCGCCCUUAAGUGCCGCAG
RNAcentral lists this ribosomal RNA (764 nucleotides) under uncultured Weissella sp. RNAcentral describes it as "bacterial SSU rRNA". It matches the Rfam family "Bacterial small subunit ribosomal RNA", at positions 100 to 851 of the family's 1533-position model. The record is from RNAcentral. Lineage: Bacteria; Bacillati; Bacillota; Bacilli; Lactobacillales; Lactobacillaceae.